UCUGAAUCUGCGNACGGCUCCGCAAACCAGUUGUAAACCAAAGCAAGCAAGCCCGGUCUCGACGCCUUUCGGGGCUAGGGGCCGGGCUACAAGGAUAACCCUGGUAAUUCUGAGGCUAAUACUUGACACGAACCUGCUGACUGGGUCUCGGCUCGGGAGGUGGGGGAUGUGCGACUAUCGGGCCAACGAAACCGGAAAGAGCGCACGUUCAGACCACUUAAAGAGGCUUCGGGGUCCCUCGGGAUCCCGGGGCUGUGGCUCUUGCAGCGUGCUUCUGACCUAUCAACUAGACGGCAGC
This 298-nucleotide ribosomal RNA is filed under the name uncultured myxomycete. RNAcentral describes it as "partial 18S ribosomal RNA". It matches the Rfam family "Eukaryotic small subunit ribosomal RNA", at positions 80 to 332 of the family's 1831-position model. Lineage: Eukaryota; Evosea; Eumycetozoa. The record is from RNAcentral.